Molecule: ribosomal RNA, 1234 nt
Filed under: metagenome
Description: bacterial LSU rRNA
Rfam family: Bacterial large subunit ribosomal RNA
Source: RNAcentral
UGAAUACGAGACGCUAAGGCGUCGAAGUAGUGUAUGUCAUACUUCCAAGAAAAGCUUGCACUGUCAUAGAUAAAAAACGCCUGUACCAUAACCGACACAGGUGGGUAGGUAGAGUAUACUAAGGGGCGCGAGAUAACUCUCUCUAAGGAACUCGGCAAAAUAACUCCGUAACUUCGGGAGAAGGAGUGCCUUAUUCGUAAGGUUGCAAUAACAAGAUCCAAGCAACUGUUUAUCAAAAACACAGGUCUCCGCUAAGUCGUAAGACGAUGUAUGGGGGCUGACGCCUGCCCAGUGCCAGAAGGUUAAAGAAGUUGGUUAGCAUUUGCGAAGCUAGUGACUGAAGCCCUGGUGAACGGCGGCCGUAACGAUAACGGUCCUAAGGUAGCGAAAUUCCUUGUCGGGUAAGUUCCGACCCGCACGAAAGGCGUAAUGAUUUGGAUACUGUCUCGGAGAGGGGCUCGGUGAAAUAGACUUGUCUGUGAAGAUGCGGACUACCUGCACCAGGACAGAAAGACCCUAUGAAGCUUUACUGUAACUUGAAAUUGAAAUUGGACUUUAUUCGCGCAGUAUAGGUGGGAGGCGUUGAUUAUAAUCUUCGGGAUUAUUGGAGCCAUCAGUGAGAUACCACUCUUGUAAUGUUAGAUUUCUAACUUUGAAUCAUUAUCUGGUCAAAGGACAGUUUCAGGCGGGCAGUUUGACUGGGGCGGUCGCCUCCCAAACGGUAACGGAGGCGUACAAAGGUUUCCUCUGAACGGUUAGAAAUCGUAUCUAGAGUGUAAAGGCAUAAGGAAGCUUGACUGUGAGACCUACAAGUCGAGCAGGGACGAAAGUCGGUCUUAGUGAUCUGACGGUACUGAGUGGAAAGGCCGUCACUCAACGGAUAAAAGUUACUCUAAGGAUAACAGGCUGAUCUCCCCCAAGAGUUCACAUCGACGGGGAGGUUUGGCACCUCGAUGUCGGCUCAUCGCAUCCUGGGGCGGUAGUACGUCCCAAGGGUUGGGCUGUUCGCCCAUGAAAGCGGUACGCGAGCUGGGUUCAGAACGUCGUGAGACAGUUCGGUCCAUAUCCGGUGUAGGCGUUAGAAUAUUGAGAGGAGCCUUCUUUAGUACGAGAGGACCGAGAAGGACAUACCUCUGGUGUACCAGUUAUCGUGCCAACGGUAAACGCUGGGUAGCUAUGUAUGGAGUGGAUAACCGCUGAAAGCAUCUAAGUGGGAAGCCCACCUUAAGAUAAG